This 504-nucleotide antisense RNA is filed under the name Pan troglodytes (chimpanzee). The stretch from base 200 to 286 matches the Rfam family "ZNFX1 antisense RNA 1 conserved region 3". Lineage: Eukaryota; Metazoa; Chordata; Mammalia; Primates; Hominidae. The record is from RNAcentral.
CUUUCGCGUCUGCGGCUCGGAGUGUGGUGCUUCUGCUGGUUGCAGUCAGGCUUCAUACGCUAUUGUCCUGCCCGUAAGUUCCCGUUUUGUGUGUGUUAGAGCAGCCAGCGGGUACAGAAUGGAUUUUGGAAGAGGGAGUCACCACUGGACCUCCAAGGAAGCCACGUGCAGACGUCUACAACCUUCGAUCUCCUGACGAGUUUAUUGUUGGCCAAAACCAGGCUUUGAUUGAACCAGGAUGAAUGCGGGUGUUGGAAGUAGAAUAUAUAUAUACAUAUAAAAUUGAAACUGGCGAUGGAAUAUGAGAGGAGCCCUCUGGAAAGAAAAGGACAGACCCUGUGCUUUCAUGAAAGUGAAGAUCUGGCUGAACCAGUUCCACAAGGUUACUGUAUACAUAGCCUGAGUUUAAAAGGCUGUGCCCACUUCAAGAAUGUCAUUGUUAGACUUUGGUGAAAUUUCUAACUGCCUACCUGGCUAAAGAAAAUAAAAUCUUUUAAAUCAAAA